Long non-coding RNA from Monomorium pharaonis (pharaoh ant), 3112 nucleotides. RefSeq lists it as uncharacterized. The record is from RefSeq and is a predicted model, not a curated record. The transcript has 14 exons. Lineage: Eukaryota; Metazoa; Arthropoda; Insecta; Hymenoptera; Formicidae.
UCAACAUGCAUUACAAUAAUUAUUUGAUUUGACAUUUAUAUAAACAGAAACCUAAGAAAAUAACCUCACAGUCAGUUUCUUGCUCACGACUUAAACAAUAUCACGGUGACAUUGUGAUUAUCAAAUCUAGAUCAAAGCAAUAAUUAAAAAUUUUACCAGAAAUAACGAUUUGCUCGCCGAAUUCAAUACCGGAGUUCCACGAUCUACAUUUUUUUUUCAUUAUGGAUGAUAAAAAAAUGUGUAGAUCGUGGAACUUCGGUAUUGAAUCCGGGGAAGAGAUCGUUAUUUCUGGUAUUAGUCUGGUAGAUUUCCAUAUUAAUCAGAUCACAAUAUGAAUCAGUUUCGAAAAAAUCUAUUUAAUAAAGUUGACGUUGUUAAAACAAAUCAUGAUCGAUGGAAAAAAGUAAAUUGUUAAUUAUGUAUAGCCAAAGAACUUUUGUCUAAAACACGAUUCACAGAACUUUAUAGGUAACAAACUUGUACCCACAAGAAUUGUGUCACAUAAAUAUUUAUUGAGUUAUUUGAAUAAAACAAAUUAGUGGUAAUAAUAGCAUUCGAAAGCGGUUUUGUUCCUCCAAAUAUUAACUAUACAACACGAAAUGAUAUAAACGCCUUAAUAAAUGGAACUGUUCGUGUUGUUCAAGAACCGAUGCCACUUAAAAACAAUUACUGUAUUAACGCUUUUUUUUGGUUUCGGAGGAACUAAUGCUCAUACAUUAUUAAAGUGGAAUCACAAAUAGAAAGUUAAUAAUGGUAUACCGAAUGAUGACUUGCUAAAGAUUGUAACAUUAUCUGGACGUACAGAAGAAUCCGUAAAGUUAUUUUUAAACGACAUUCGCAAUGGCCAGAAAUAGGUAUAUACAUAUAUAAUGUCAUUUACAGUAACACACGUUAUUUACAGCAACAUUGACUAACAGAAUAAUACAUGUAAUUUUAAAAUUUAAAUCAAAUUUAAAGGACAAAACUUACUAAAAUUUUAAGUUUUUGCAAAUACAAUAAAAAUAUGCGAUGUUACUUUAAAACCACAUGGUAUAAAUGUUAGUGAUAUUUUGAAAAAGACAGACAAAAAAGUGUGCAAAAUGCUUUAUAUGCGCUUCUUGGUAUCGUCGCUAUUUAGAUUGGCUUAGUAGACCUAACCUUUAGGAAUUAAGAAGAUAAAGAAGAACAAAUGAUAACCCAAGACAUCUACAAAAGGUUGAAACUCCGCGGUUAUCAAUACAAUGGUUGGUUUCGUGGAUUAAAGAGUGCAUCUGUUUCAGGCAGGCUACGGGAUAAUGCAGAUUAUGUGAAAGAUACAUUAUUGCCGAUACAGAUAUAUGGAGGCGCGAUUAUAGCGGGUGGAAUAUAAAUACAAGGCCAGACUGGCUAAUAGUUCGUGGUGCCAGAAACAUAGUAUUGGUUUCACGAAGUGGGGUAAAAAACGGUUACCAACGCAUAAAGAUUCGAUUAUGGGAAUCGUAUGGUGUAAAUGUGCUAAUCGUCAAGAAUAUCGAUGUCGCUAAUACCGAAGGUUGUGAAUACCUCUUGCGAACUGCGGAAAGCAAGGCACCAGUAAACGCGAUAUUUAAUCUCGGUGUGAUGUUGGAGGAUAAUGUUAAAAGGACUCUGCAAAUGUCUCCGUCGUUUGAUUCUAAAGAAUCAAACGGCGUAGACAUUUGCAGAGUCCUUUCAGUCAAAUGCUCGGGCAACGCAAACUUUGGACAAACUUUCCAGAAAGUUUUGUCCUAAACUGAGACAUUUUGUAGUGUUUUCUUCCGUUUCUUGUGGUAGGGGCAAUCCUGGACAGACUGAUUAUGGCAUAUGGCUAACUCUAUUAUGGAAAGAGUUUGCGAAAAGAGGAAGGAUUACCCGGAUUGGCAAUUCAAUGGGGAGUUGUUGGUGACGUGGGUCUCGUCGCUGAAAUGCAGGAAGAUCAGAAGGAAUUGAUUAUCGGCGAUACCUUACAACAAAAAGUAUUCUGUUGUCUCGACGAACUUGAUAAGUUUUUACUUCAAAGUUGGUCAGUUGUAAGCGCUCCAUGGUAGUAGCUGAAAAGAAAUCAGAAUUUGUCGAACAUGGAACUCCGGCAGAAGCUAUCGCUAAUAUUUUAAAUAUAAAAGACAUGAAAGUUGUAAGUCAAAAUACAUCUCUGGCUGAACUUGGAAUGGAUUCCAUGAUGGCAGUGGAAAUUAAGCAAACUCUGGAACGAGAAUUCGAUAUUUUCUCUCUGAGAUUCGUAAUCUCAACUUUGCAAAGCUCAAUGAUGCAUCCAAUACGAACAUCAGUGAUGCAAGGUCUUGCGUUACUUGCGUUAUAAUACAAAUAACGUCAUAAUACGUUACAAAAGCGUUAUAAUACAAUGCUGCAAACCUUAUAUUAUGGAUAAUUGAUCGUCUCAUCAAUCACGUAUUAACAAAACUGAGAGAUGGAAAAGACUUUGUAAUGGUAUACUCUUUUGGGUUUAUUAUUGCAAUUGAAUUAAUAAUUGUUAUCUAAACGACCUUUAAAACUCAUAGCUUCUAUCUUCUUAAAAAUAUUGGAAGCCAUGAAUUUUAUAGGCCGUUUGAUUCUUAUCGACGGCGCUCCUGAACAAAUCCGAAUGAUAAGCAAACAUUAUACGCGGACGAAGACGCGGAAUUGGAAGCAUUAUUGGAUUAAGAUUCGUACCAAACGCAAGAAGAACUUGCACUUACUUUUAUAUUUCGAAUAAAACAUAAGGUUCCGUUCUUUCAAAAUAAAUGCCCAAUUUUUGAUAAAAAAUGGCGGAAACUUUUCCGUACACCUAAUAUCAGAUUCUAACAAUGAUGUCGAUCUUCAGAUUAAUGUUCUAAUUAUUAUUUUAAAAGUUGAUUUACCUCUUAAAGAGGAAACGAUUAAAGAGUUUAGCAUUUCAAUUUAAAAACGUAUUCUAUGACGAUUUGUCAUCUUUUAUCUUUUCUUCGACAAUAUGAUCCUUGUUUAUUACGCCGCGCGUCCAUUAUAUCUCUCAUAAUGUUGCUAAAAUCUACAUACUCAUUGCCUAUUCCCGUACUCGACGAAGAUUAUGGUUUGCAGAAGGUAACUCAAAAUGUGGUAAAGAUACAUUACACAAAGGGUAAUCAUGUGACAAUCUUAAGGAACGUCUUAGAUGCAA